GAGUUGCAGCCCCUCACCGGACGGAGUCGCUA
Molecule: non-coding RNA, 32 nt
Filed under: Geobacter sulfurreducens PCA
Lineage: Bacteria; Pseudomonadati; Thermodesulfobacteriota; Desulfuromonadia; Geobacterales; Geobacteraceae
Source: RNAcentral